UAGUGUUAUAGCUAUUUCCUUGUAACUUAAUUAGGCAGCCUGGUUUUUAUGGUGCAUUAUCUGGGAACUUAUAGAACAUCAAACGUGUAGACGGUCACUCUUUAGAACUUGUAAGACUUGAGUGAUAGCGUUCUACUUAAUUUCAGUAGCUUUUGUUUCGUUCCAACAGGAGAAUGUGUUGGCCGAGUCGAGAAUGAUGGUUCCCGACUGCCACACAUGCCUGGAGGCUUCCCUUGCUGACCUAAAAGGAAUAUUGGAAGAGUUGAAGGAGUUGAAUCAGCGAGGUCCUGAGAUUAAGGAAGCUCAAAGCAUUAUUGCAGAGGUUGAAGCAUUGUUUCAAAGCACUGAAGGUUAGCAGUUCAGUCAACUGUUGUAGUUGGUGGCUUGAUCGCCGUUGCUUUGGUUUUUGUAUCUUGUUCUAGUCUUUUUUCAGAGGCUAGCAUGCACCACUUCACUCUGCAGAUGGAUUUGUAGCCAUGCAGUUUUGAUUUUUGGCUUCUGUUUGUUUCUAAGUAAACGGCUACCUUAUACUAUAAUUGAUGACGGUGCUUGCCAUCUUCGCAGGGGUUUACUCUCCUCAUGUCUUUCAUUUGUUAAUGUUACAAUCUAAGGGCUUAGUUUGGAUCCUCGAUAAAAA
Magnolia sinica is the source of this 637-nucleotide long non-coding RNA. RefSeq lists it as uncharacterized. The transcript is spliced from 2 exons. Lineage: Eukaryota; Viridiplantae; Streptophyta; Magnoliopsida; Magnoliales; Magnoliaceae. The record is from RefSeq and is a predicted model, not a curated record.